GAUGAAGAACGUAGCGAAAUGCGAUAAGUAAUGUGAAUUGCAGAAUUCAGUGAAUCAUCGAAUCUUUGAACGCACAUUGCGCCCCCUGGUAUUCCGGGGGGCAUGCCUGUUCGAGCGUCAUUCACCACUCAAGCCUCGCUUGGUAUUGGGCAACGCGGUCCGCCGCGUGCCUCAAAUCGACCGGCUGGGUCUUCUGUCCCCUAAGCGUUGUGGAAACUUUCGCUAAAGGGUGUUCGGGAGGCUACGCCGUAAAACAACCCCAUUUCUAAGGUUGACCUCGGAUCAGGUAGGGAUACCCGCUGAACUUAAGCAUAUCAAUAAGCGGAGGA
RNAcentral lists this unclassified non-coding RNA (329 nucleotides) under soil metagenome. RNAcentral describes it as "partial contains 5.8S ribosomal RNA, internal transcribed spacer 2, and large subunit ribosomal RNA". The stretch from base 1 to 120 matches the Rfam family "5.8S ribosomal RNA", at positions 35 to 154 of the family's 154-position model. The record is from RNAcentral.